ACUCCUACGGGAGGCAGCAGUAGGGAAUCUUCCACAAUGGGCGCAAGCCUGAUGGAGCAACACCGCGUGAGUGAAGAAGGGUUUCGGCUCGUAAAGCUCUGUUGUUAAAGAAGAACACGUAUGAGGGUAACUGUUCAUACGUUGACGGUAUUUAACCAGAAAGUCACGGCUAACUACGUGCCAGCAGCCGCGGUAAUACGUAGGUGGCAAGCGUUAUCCGGAUUUAUUGGGGCGUAAAGAGAGUGCAGGCGGUUUUCUAAGUCUGAUGUGAAAGCCUUCGGCUUAACCGGAGAAGUGCAUCGGAAACUGGAUAACUUGAGUGCAGAAGAGGGUAGUGGAACUCCAUGUGUAGCGGUGGAAUGCGUAGAUAUAUGGAAGAACACCAGUGGCGAAGGCGGCUACCUGGUCUGCAACUGACGCUGAGACUCGAAAGCAUGGGUAGCGAACAGGAUUAGAUACCCUGGUAGGCUAGCG
Molecule: ribosomal RNA, 474 nt
Filed under: uncultured bacterium
Lineage: Bacteria
Description: bacterial SSU rRNA
Rfam family: Bacterial small subunit ribosomal RNA
Source: RNAcentral